This 72-nucleotide transfer RNA is filed under the name Camelus bactrianus (Bactrian camel). It matches the Rfam family "tRNA". Rfam says of the family: Transfer RNA (tRNA) molecules are approximately 80 nucleotides in length. Lineage: Eukaryota; Metazoa; Chordata; Mammalia; Artiodactyla; Camelidae. The record is from Rfam by way of RNAcentral. RNAcentral also lists the same sequence under 1 other name.
GUGGGCAGAGCUCAGUGGUAGAGCUCAUGCUUAGCAUGCACGAAACCCUGGGUUCAAUCCCCAGUACCUCCA